Molecule: ribosomal RNA, 441 nt
Filed under: Triticum aestivum (bread wheat)
Lineage: Eukaryota; Viridiplantae; Streptophyta; Magnoliopsida; Poales; Poaceae
Description: partial small subunit ribosomal RNA
Source: RNAcentral
AUGGGAGAAACUACGCGAGCUACCAACCAAAUGCACGCCAACAUACAGCUGAAAACAGUUUCCAUUCUUCCUGUGGCGCUAGUGCUUGCCUGGCAAUCAGGAGCUGCAGACAGAUUGUGGAUCAUACACAUGCCUAAUCUGCACAAAGUUCUGCUUCAAGUACAUCAUCAGGCAUUACUGCAAGAACUGCUCAGCUGGUUUGCAGAAACGGAUGCCUACAUUACAGGGACUUGGUCACCGACACCGUUGAGGUUGAACUCGAGCUCCUUCAAUCUGGGAAGUUUGUUGAUGCCGGAGAGAGAUGUGGAAGAUGACCAGACAAUCUUCUCGAGCCUAGGAGCAGAUCCUCUGGUGAAGACUAUCUUUGUGAUGGCCGAGCAGUCAACAGCAAGAAGGUUGAGCCACAAGAACUCAUCUUUUUUCAAUGUAAUCUUGUUUUGA